GACGAACGCUGGCGGCGUGCUUAACACAUGCAAGUCGAACGGAAAGGCCCUGCUUUUGUGGGGUGCUCGAGUGGCGAACGGGUGAGUAACACGUGAGUAACCUGCCCUUGACUUUGGGAUAACUUCAGGAAACUGGGGCUAAUACCGGAUAGGAGCACCUGCUGCAUGGUGGGGGUUGGAAAGUUUCGGCGGUUGGGGAUGGACUCGCGGCUUAUCAGCUUGUUGGUGGGGUAGUGGCUUACCAAGGCUUUGACGGGUAGCCGGCCUGAGAGGGGGACCGGCCCCAUUGGGACUGAGAUACGGCCCAGACUCCUACGGGAGGCAGCAGUGGGGAAUAUUGCACAAUGGGCGGAAGCCUGAUGCAGCAACGCCGCGUGCGGGAUGACGGCCUGCGGGUUGUAAACCGCUUUCGCCUGUGACGAAGCGUGAGUGACGGUAAUGGGUAAAGAAGCACCGGCUAACUACGUG
This 468-nucleotide ribosomal RNA is filed under the name uncultured bacterium. Its description in RNAcentral is "partial 16S ribosomal RNA". It matches the Rfam family "Bacterial small subunit ribosomal RNA", at positions 28 to 507 of the family's 1533-position model. The record is from RNAcentral.